Molecule: ribosomal RNA, 145 nt
Filed under: Brephosceles disjunctus
Lineage: Eukaryota; Metazoa; Arthropoda; Arachnida; Sarcoptiformes; Alloptidae
Description: partial 16S large subunit ribosomal RNA
Source: RNAcentral
AAUUUUCUAGGGUAAUAUUAAAUUUUCUAUCUAAAUUUAUAAUGUUGUUGAAAAUAACAACAAUUUCUUUAAGACUAAAAGACCCUAAAAUUUUUAUAACUAUUAUAAGGUUAUUUGAUUGGGGGAAUAAUAUAAAUAAAAUACA